Carlito syrichta (Philippine tarsier) is the source of this 2277-nucleotide RNA transcript. It is a transcript of the gene named long-chain-fatty-acid--CoA ligase 1 pseudogene, with no coding region annotated. The record is from RefSeq and is a predicted model, not a curated record. The transcript has a single exon. NCBI's taxonomy places the organism in Eukaryota, Metazoa, Chordata, Mammalia, Primates, Tarsiidae.
CAGUGGCUGCCUGGCGCGGCCGCAGCGGCGCCUUAAAUAGCAUCCGGAGCCGGCGCGGGGAAGGGAGUGGGCCGCGGUGACAGCCGGCGGCGGCGGAGCGGCGGGGCCAGCCGGGGAGAAUUCAGCUUAGAGAACUAUCAACACAGGACAAUGCAAGCCCACGAGUUGUUCCGGUAUUUUCGAGUGCCAGAGCUGGUUGACUUCCGACAAUACGUGCGCACCCUCCCAACCAACACACUCAUGGGCUUCGGAGCUUUGGCCGCCCUCACCACUUUCGGGUACGCCACGAGACCCAAAGCCCCGAGACCAUCAUGUGACCUCUCCAUGCAGUCAGUGGAAGUGGCGAUAAUGGCCCUUGUUCAGGCUCUCGGAAACCAGACCGAUUCUAUGAAUGGCUUUCAUACAAACAGGUUGCAGAGCGCUCCGAGUACAUAGGUUCAGCGCUGAUCCAGAAGGGCUUCAAGGCCGCCCCGGAUCAGUUCAUUGGCAUCUUUGCUCAAAAUAGACCUGAGUGGGUGAUUAUUGAACAGGGAUGCUUUGCUUAUUCAAUGGUGGUCGUUCCACUGUAUGAUACUCUAGGGACCGAAGCUAUCACGUACAUAGUCAACAAAGCUGAGCUCUCUCUGAUUUUUUGUUGACAGACCAGAGAAGGCCAAACUCUUAUUAGAGGGUGUAGAAAAUAAGUUAACACCAGGCCUUAAAGUCGUAGUUCUCAUGGAUGCCUACAGCAGUGAGCUGGUGGAACGAGGCAAGAAGACUGGGGUGGAGAUCAUCAGCAUGAAGGCGUUGGAGGAUCUGGGAAGAGCCAACAGGCGGCAGCCCAAGCCUCCAGCACCUGAAGAUCUUGCAGUAGUUUCUUUCACAAGUGGAACUACAGGCAACCUCAAAGGAGCACUGAUCACUCAUUGAAAUGUAGUGAGCGAUUGUUCAGCUUUUGUGAAAAAGACAGAGAACACAGUCAGUCCUUCCCCAGACGAUACUUUGAUAUCUUUCUUGCCUCUCGCCCAUAUGUUUGAGAGAGUUGUAGAGUGUGUCAUGCUGUGUCAUGGAGUUAAAAUAGGAUUUUUUCAAGGAGACAUCAGGCUGCUUAUGGAUGAUCUCAAGGUGUUGCAGCCCACUCUCUUUCCUGUGGUUCUGAGACUGCUGAACCCGGUGUUUGACCAAAUUUUUGGUCAAGCAAACACCACGCUGAAACGAUGGCUCUUGGACUUUGCCUCCAAGAGGAAAGAAGCAGAACUUCGCAGUGGCAUCAUUCGAAACAACAGCCUGUGGGACAAGCUGAUCUUCCACAAGAUACAGUCGAGCCUAGGCGGAAGUGUCCGGUUGAUGGUCACGGGAGCUGCACCCAUGUCUGCCACUGUGCUGACCUUCCUGAGAGCGGCCCUUGGCUGUCAGUUUUAUGAAGGUUAUGGACAGACUGAGUGCACUGCUGGGUGCUGCCUGACUGUGCCUGGAGACUGGACAGCAGGCCAUGUUGGUGCCCCAAUGCCUUGCAAUUUUAUAAAACUUGUUGAUGUGGAAGAAAUGAAUUACAUGGCUGCCAAGGGCGAAGGUGAGGUGUGUGUGAAAGGGCCGAAUGUAUUCCAGGGCUACUUGAAAGACCCAGCAAAAACAGCAGAAGCUUUGGAUAAAGAUGGCUGGUUACACACAGGGGACAUUGGGAAAUGGCUACCAAAUGGCACCUUGAAGAUCAUCGACAGGAAAAAGCACAUAUUUAAACUGGCACAAGGAGAAUACAUAGCACCCGAAAAGAUUGAAAACAUAUACCUGCGAAGUGAACCUGUUGCUCAGGUGUUUGUGCACGGAGAAAGCUUGCAGGCAUUUCUCAUAGCAAUUGUGGUACCAGACAUUGAGACAUUAGGCUCCUGGGCCGGAAAGAGAGGAUUUGAUGGAUCCUUUGGGGAAUUGUGCAGAAAUAAGGAUGUCAAGAAAGCUAUCCUAGAAGACAUGGUGAGGCUUGGGAAGGAUUCUGGUCUAAAACCAUUUGAGCAGGUCAAGGGUAUAACACUACACCCUGAAUUAUUUUCUAUCGACAAUGGCAUUUUGACUCCAACAAUGAAGGCAAAAAGGCCAGAACUACGGAACUAUUUCAGGUCGCAGAUAGGUGAACUUUAUUCCACCAUCAAGGUUUAACGGGAGGAAGAAAGCUUGGAAGAAAUGGCACCCCUCCACAGUCUCUUCCACUGAUGGCCUUCAUGUUGAGUACAGCAAGUGCAGGAGAGGAAGCGUUCGCAUUGGACUUGUUCAUUGGGAUCUUGUCAUAGGAAUAUUAGAGGA